GAUUGGCAGACCUGUGCGGAAUGUGCGAAUCCAUACCUCUGAGUAUCUGAAGGCAUUCAAAGAGAGCGAGCCCAGGAAGGCUGUGGCCUUGAUCCUGCAGGCUGUCUUCCCCACCAGUGUACUCGCAUGUAGUGGUGUCAUUGGCGACGUGGCCAGGGGCAUACAGCAGCUCGAUCCCAAUAAAGUUGAAGCCAUAAGAGAAUGGCUUGCAGAAAUGUUCCCACGCCACGACCUAGGUGUGAAAGGGGCAGACUGGGCUGAUUGUUUGGGGGUCAUUAAUAACGUGAUGAAGGGGCUGCGUAGUAUGAAGAGAUAAGUUCAAAUGAAAACUGGACAAGAUCUGACCAAUGCAAGAUGACUACUAAGAGGGACACACCUCAACAGCAGCAUAUCUUCCUAUGACAACUCUGCCAGAGAUUCAGGAGAAUGAAAACAGUGACAUGGGACACCUGGGAGUGGAAAAAAAGAAAACCUCUUCUCUCUACGUGGGCAAUGCCUGCAGAUUAGAAUAAGUUAUUCCUUACUGGUAGUAGUUAGACAAGGCUAACACAAAUCAGUUGUUACAUUUAAAGAAAUACCUUGCUAAUGGAAUUAAUGGAUACCAUGAUGAGCAGUUCUGUGUUGCCAUUUUAACAACCAUUUUCACUUUGUUGUGUCAGCAGGGCAGAACAGGCUGCUUUUAGAUUACUAAUUUUGUUUUCACUUAUGGAGGGACAAUUUGCUGGAAAGUCUUUACAGCAUACAUUUGCAUUACAGUGUUUUACAACCAGAAAUUUUCUUGCUCUUUCAUUAAAUUUUUCUUAAUAAAAUUCUGUACCUUUUGAAGAAUUUGCUAUGCUUUUUCGAUCUUCAAAACACAUUUAAAAUGGUAAGAACCCA
Long non-coding RNA from Megalops cyprinoides (Indo-Pacific tarpon), 879 nucleotides. RefSeq lists it as uncharacterized. NCBI's taxonomy places the organism in Eukaryota, Metazoa, Chordata, Actinopteri, Elopiformes, Megalopidae. The transcript is spliced from 3 exons. The record is from RefSeq and is a predicted model, not a curated record.